GCCUACGGGUGGCUGCAGUGGGGAAUAUUGGGCAAUGGGCGCAAGCCUGACCCAGCAACGCCGCGUGAAGGAUGAAGGCCUUCGGGUUGUAAACUUCUUUGAUCAGGGACGAAAAGAAUGACGGUACCUGAGGAACAAGCCACGGCUAACUACGUGCCAGCAGCCGCGGUAAUACGUAGGUGGCGAGCGUUAUCCGGAUUUACUGGGUGUAAAGGGCGUGUAGGCGGGCUGACAAGUCGGAUGUGAAAUUCCCGGGCUUAACCCGGGCGGGUCAUCCGAAACUGUCGGUCUUGAGUACUGGAGAGGAUAGUGGAAUUCCUAGUGUAGCGGUAAAAUGCGUAGAUAUUAGGAGGAACACCAGUGGCGAAGGCGGCUAUCUGGACAGUAACUGACGCUGAGGCGCGAAAGCGUGGGGAGCAAACAGGAUUAGAUACCCUGGUAGUC
RNAcentral lists this ribosomal RNA (444 nucleotides) under uncultured Clostridium sp. Its description in RNAcentral is "bacterial SSU rRNA". It matches the Rfam family "Bacterial small subunit ribosomal RNA", at positions 337 to 795 of the family's 1533-position model. The record is from RNAcentral. Lineage: Bacteria; Bacillati; Bacillota; Clostridia; Eubacteriales; Clostridiaceae.